RNAcentral lists this ribosomal RNA (715 nucleotides) under uncultured archaeon. Its description in RNAcentral is "bacterial SSU rRNA". It matches the Rfam family "Archaeal small subunit ribosomal RNA", at positions 142 to 858 of the family's 1478-position model. The record is from RNAcentral.
GAGCAUAAUUCUUGAUAGAUCAUAAUGCCUGGAAUGGUUUAUGGUUAAAAUGAUUCGUCGCCAUAGGAUGGGACUGCGGCCUAUCAGUUUGUUGGUGAGGUAAUGGCCCACCAAGACUAUUACAGGUACGGGCUCUGAGAGGAGUAGCCCGGAGAUGGGUACUGAGACACGGACCCAGGCCCUAUGGGGCGCAGCAGGCGAGAAAACUUUGCAAUGUGCGAAAGCACGACAAGGUUAAUCCGAGUGAUUUGUGCUAAACGAAUCUUUUGUUAGUCCUAGAAACACUAACGAAUAAGGGGUGGGCAAGUUCUGGUGUCAGCCGCCGCGGUAAAACCAGCACCUCAAGUGGUCAGGAUGAUUAUUGGGCCUAAAGCAUCCGUAGCCGGCUCUGUAAGUUUUCGGUUAAAUCUGUACGCUUAACGUACAGGCUGCCGGGAAUACUGCAAAGCUAGGGAGUGGGAGAGGUAGACGGUACUCGGUAGGAAGUGGUAAAAUGCUUUGAUCUAUCGAUGACCACCUGUGGCGAAGGCGGUCUACCAGAACACGUCCGACGGUGAGGGAUGAAAGCUGGGGGAGCAAACCGGAUUAGAUACCCGGGUAGUCCCAGCUGUAAACUAUGCAAACUCAGUGAUGCAUUGGCUUGUGGCCAAUGCAGUGCUGCAGGGAAGCCGUUAAGUUUGCCGCCUGGGAAGUACGUACGCAAGUAUGAAACUUA